AGUGAACGCUGGCGGUAGGCCUAACACAUGCAAGUCGAACGGCAGCACAGUAAGAGCUUGCUCUUACGGGUGGCGAGUGGCGGACGGGUGAGGAAUACAUCGGAAUCUACUUUUUCGUGGGGGAUAACGUAGGGAAACUUACGCUAAUACCGCAUACGACCUACGGGUGAAAGCAGGGGAUCUUCGGACCUUGCGCGAUUGAAUGAGCCGAUGUCGGAUUAGCUAGUUGGCGGGGUAAUGGCCCACCAAGGCGACGAUCCGUAGCUGGUCUGAGAGGAUGAUCAGCCACACUGGAACUGAGACACGGUCCAGACUCCUACGGGAGGCAGCAGGGGGGAAUAUUGGACAAUGGGCGCAAGCCUGAUCCAGCCAUACCGCGUGGGUGAAGAAGGCCUUCGGGUUGUAAAGCCCUUUUGUUGGGAAAGAAAAGCAGCAGGUUAAUACCCCGCUGUUCGGACGGUACCCAAAGAAUAAGCACCGGCUAACUUCGU
This 491-nucleotide ribosomal RNA is filed under the name uncultured bacterium. Its description in RNAcentral is "partial 16S ribosomal RNA". It matches the Rfam family "Bacterial small subunit ribosomal RNA", at positions 29 to 506 of the family's 1533-position model. The record is from RNAcentral.